GUGAGGAAUAUUGGUCAAUGGGCGCAAGCCUGAACCAGCCAUCCCGCGUGCAGGAAGACGGCGCUAUGCGUUGUAAACUGCUUUUCCAGGGAGAGAAACUUGCGCACGUGUUGCGCAAUUGACGGUACCCUGGGAAUAAGCAUCGGCUAACUCCGUGCCAGCAGCCGCGGUAAUACGGAGGAUGCGAGCGUUAUCCGGAUUCAUUGGGUCUAAAGGGUGCGUAGGCGGACUAUUAAGUCAGUGGUGAAAUCCUGCAGCUUAACUGCAGAACUGCAAUUGAUACUGAUAGCCUUGAGUUUGGUUAAGGUAGGCGGAAUGUGUAAUGUAGCGGUGAAAUGCUUAGAUAUUACACAGAACACCAAUUGCGUAGGCAGCUUACUGAGCCGACACUGACGCUGAGGCACGAAAGCGUGGGGAUCGAACAGGAUUAGAAACCCUGGUAGUCC
This 446-nucleotide ribosomal RNA is filed under the name uncultured bacterium. Its description in RNAcentral is "partial 16S ribosomal RNA". It matches the Rfam family "Bacterial small subunit ribosomal RNA", at positions 354 to 796 of the family's 1533-position model. The record is from RNAcentral.